GAGAGAGACAUGCGCGCAUAUCAAUAAGCGGAGGAAAAGAAACUAACAAGGAUUCCCUUAGUAACGGCGAGUGAAGCGGGAAGAGCUCAAAUUUGAAAUCUUCAAGGUUUUACCUUGACGAAUUGUAGUUUAAAGAAGUGUUUUCUGCUGAAGUUUUGGUAAAAGUUCUUUGGAAUAGGACAUCAUAGAGGGUGAGAAUCCCGUAUUUGACCAUUAUUUUCAGCUUUGUGAUACACUUUCAAAGAGUCGGAUUGUUUGGGAAUGCAGUCCAAAAUGGGUGGUAAAUUUCAUCUAAAGCUAAAUAUUGGCGAGAGACCGAUAGCGAACAAGUACCGUGAGGGAAAGAUGAAAAGAACUUUGAAAAGAGAGUUAAACAGUACGUGAAAUUGUCAAAAGGGAAGCGUUUGACACCAGUGUUGUUUUCUCGAAAAUCAAUUAAAAAUGGCUCGAUUUUGUAUUGUUGAGACCUUAAAAGCUCACUGUACAUUUUUCGUGUCUUUUUUAAUGCACUUUUCGUUUAACAAGUCAACAUCAGUUUCUUUUGUUGUAAAAGGGAUCAUUGGAAGGUGGCUUUCUUUUCGGAGAAAGUGUUUAUAGCCUUUGGCCUCUGCAAUCGGAGAGACUGAGGUCUGCAGCGUAGACUCUUCGGGGUUAGAUACAUUUGUGCUAAGUUAUAGCUUUUUAUAGACAACUUGUUGACUAUAAUUAGUCUUGUAGCUUACUCGCUUAUGCUAUUUUACCUACGCUUAGGAUGUUGAGUCGUAGAGCACGCAG
RNAcentral lists this ribosomal RNA (774 nucleotides) under uncultured Neocallimastigales. Its description in RNAcentral is "partial large subunit ribosomal RNA". It matches the Rfam family "Eukaryotic large subunit ribosomal RNA", at positions 23 to 634 of the family's 3401-position model. The record is from RNAcentral. Lineage: Eukaryota; Fungi; Neocallimastigomycota; Neocallimastigomycetes; Neocallimastigales.